CCUACGGGUGGCAGCAGUGGGGAAUAUUGGGCAAUGGGGGCAACUCUGACCCAGCAACGCCGCGUGAAUGAUGAAGGUUUUCGGAUUGUAAAGUUCUUUUCUAAGGGAAGAAGAAAGUGACGGUACCUGACGAAUAAGCCACGGCUAACUACGUGCCAGCAGCCGCGGUAAUACGUAGGUGGCGAGCGUUAUCCGGAUUUACUGGGUGUAAAGGGUGCGUAGGUGGUUUGGCAAGUUAGUAGCGUAACUCCAAGGCUCAACCUUGGAACUACUACUAAAACUGUUGGACUUGAGUGCAGGAGGGGCAACCGGAAUUCCGAGUGUAGCGGUGGAAUGCGUAGAUAUUAGGAGGAACACCAGUGGCGAAGGCGGGUUGCUAGACUGUAACUGACACUGAGGCACGAAAGCGUGGGGAGCAAACAGGAUUAGAUACCCGUGUAGUC
This 443-nucleotide ribosomal RNA is filed under the name uncultured bacterium. RNAcentral describes it as "partial 16S ribosomal RNA". It matches the Rfam family "Bacterial small subunit ribosomal RNA", at positions 338 to 795 of the family's 1533-position model. The record is from RNAcentral.